Molecule: long non-coding RNA, 852 nt
Organism: Saccostrea cuccullata (small rock oyster)
Lineage: Eukaryota; Metazoa; Mollusca; Bivalvia; Ostreida; Ostreidae
Exons: 4
Source: RefSeq, a predicted model, not a curated record
GUUUUAGGCAUACAUUAUGUUUGGUUUUAAGAAAAUUGCCUUUCCUGUGAAUUUGAUUUCUUACAUAUAUGCUAGUGGCCUAAGUAAAAAAUACAUAAAAUAUUAUGAAAUCCAUCGGGAUCGAUGUACGGUUCCGUAACCACGUGUAAACAUCAUGGCUUCCUGCAACGUUUUGUACGUCCUCAGAAAAAGAUUCAGGUGCAUGAAUUGUCAUCGAAGCUUCAGAUUCUGGCUCUGAUUUUGAUGAAUAUGAUUCUGACAGCGAACAUUCAUUUGGUAGCGAGACGGAUGUAGUGAUGAUGAUACCGAAUCAACAACGUUUGAAUUUGAAAGUGAAACAGAUAUUUAUGAGAUGUUAUGAAGAUAGCUACAGUUAUGAUUUUUGGCUUCAUGGAAUAGUAGAAUUUUCUUUAUGGGAGAUCACAUUUAUUUGAGAAAAGAGUUGUCAAAUACUUGUGCAGACUGCAGACUUUUCAAAUUCAAAGGGCACCAUGUGUUCCUUGACAGAUUAUUCAUAUUCAUUUCCUUGGAUAGGGCUGGGCUUUACAAUUGGAUUUUCAGCUGUGGAGCUAUAAAGAAUUACUAUGCAGGGUUUCCAAUGUAGUUUUGUGAACAGAAUCCAGAAAUAAGAAGAGGAGGGACAAUGCAGUUGCAGCAUGAGCAUGACCAAUUACUUGCCACUGCUGAGAAAAUGGUACAUGCUUUGAGUACUACUUUUGUGUAUUUGGAGACAGUCCAGUUCUUUAAACCAGGAGUGGAAAUUUCAGUGCUUGUUAAAUUUUCUCCAGAACUUAUUGGAUGCUACAUAGGAAGAAAAUGGGGUCAUACUGAACAGAAUAGUUUGGAUACAUC